Molecule: ribosomal RNA, 420 nt
Filed under: uncultured bacterium
Lineage: Bacteria
Description: bacterial SSU rRNA
Rfam family: Bacterial small subunit ribosomal RNA
Source: RNAcentral
GCAGCAGCCGCGGUAAUACGGAGGGUGCAAGCGUUAUCCGGAUUCACUGGGUUUAAAGGGUGUGUAGGCGGAUAUUUAAGUCAGUGGUGAAAUCUCCAGGCUCAACCUGGAAACUGCCAUUGAUACUAUUUAUCUUGAAUUCUGUUGAGGUGGGCGGAAUACAUCAUGUAGCGGUGAAAUGCUUAGAUAUGAUGUAGAACACCGAUUGCGAAGGCAGCUCACUAAACAGCGAUUGACGCUGAGGCACGAAAGCGUGGGGAUCAAACAGGAUUAGAUACCCUGGUAGUCCACGCCCUAAACGAUGAUUACUCGACAUACGCGAUACACUGUGUGUGUCUGAGCGAAAGCAUUAAGUAAUCCACCUGGGAAGUACGACCGCAAGGUUGAAACUCAAAGGAAUUGACGGGGGCCCGCACAAGC